This 300-nucleotide ribosomal RNA is filed under the name uncultured bacterium. RNAcentral describes it as "bacterial SSU rRNA". It matches the Rfam family "Bacterial small subunit ribosomal RNA", at positions 775 to 1067 of the family's 1533-position model. The record is from RNAcentral.
GGAUUAGAUACCCUGGUAGUCCACGCCCUAAACGAUGAAUACUAGAUGUAGGAUUUAAUUCUGUAUCGUAGCUAACGCAUUAAGUAUUCCGCCUGGGGAGUACGGUCGCAAGGCUGAAACUCAAAGGCAUUGGCGGGGACUCGCACAAGCGGUGGAGCAUGUGGUUUAAUUCGAUGCUAAGCGAAGAACCUUACCAGGGCUUGACAUGUAAGCAUAAGCUUGCGUGAAAGCGUGGAGUGAAUUUGGGCUUGCCCAAAUUGGUUUACACAGGUGCUGCAUGGCUGUCGUCAGCUCGUGCCG